Molecule: ribosomal RNA, 463 nt
Filed under: uncultured bacterium
Lineage: Bacteria
Description: partial 16S ribosomal RNA
Rfam family: Bacterial small subunit ribosomal RNA
Source: RNAcentral
GACGAACGCUGGCGGCGUGCUUAACACAUGCAAGUCGAACGGAAAGGCCUUUUCGGCGGUACUCGAGUGGCGAACGGGUGAGUAACACGUGGGUGAUCUGCCCUGCACUCUGGGAUAAGCCUGGGAAACUGGGUCUAAUACCGGAUAGGACCGCACUUUAGUGUGUGUGGUGGAAAGUUUUUUCGGUGUAGGAUGAGCCCGCGGCCUAUCAGCUUGUUGGUGGGGUAAUGGCCUACCAAGGCGGCGACGGGUAGCCGGACUGAGAGGUUGGUCGGCCACAUUGGGACUGAGAUACGGCCCAGACUCCUACGGGAGGCAGCAGUGGGGAAUAUUGCACAAUGGGCGCAAGCCUGAUGCAGCGACGCCGCGUGGGGGAUGGCGGCCUUCGGGUUGUAAACUCCUUUCGCCAGGGACGAAGCGUUUUGUGACGGUACCUGGAGAAGAAGCACCGGCUAACUACGUG